Molecule: ribosomal RNA, 420 nt
Filed under: Bacillus amyloliquefaciens
Lineage: Bacteria; Bacillati; Bacillota; Bacilli; Caryophanales; Bacillaceae
Description: bacterial SSU rRNA
Rfam family: Bacterial small subunit ribosomal RNA
Source: RNAcentral
CUGGCGGCGUGCCUAAUACAUGCAAGUCGAGCGGACAGAUGGGAGCUUGCUCCCUGAUGUUAGCGGCGGACGGGUGAGUAACACGUGGGUAACCUGCCUGUAAGACUGGGAUAACUCCGGGAAACCGGGGCUAAUACCGGAUGGUUGUUUGAACCGCAUGGUUCAGACAUAAAAGGUGGCUUCGGCUACCACUUACAGAUGGACCCGCGGCGCAUUAGCUAGUUGGUGAGGUAACGGCUCACCAAGGCGACGAUGCGUAGCCGACCUGAGAGGGUGAUCGGCCACACUGGGACUGAGACACGGCCCAGACUCCUACGGGAGGCAGCAGUAGGGAAUCUUCCGCAAUGGACGAAAGUCUGACGGAGCAACGCCGCGUGAGUGAUGAAGGUUUUCGGAUCGUAAAGCUCUGUUGUUAGGGAA